GAUGAACGCUGGCGGCGUGCCUAACACAUGCAAGUCGAGCGAACGGACGAGAAGCUUGCUUUUUUGAUGUUAGCGGCGGACGGGUGAGUAACACGUAGAUAACCUACCUAUAUGACUGGGAUAAUUUCGGGAAACCGGAGCUAAUACCAGAUAAUAUUUUGAACCGCAGGGUUCAAAAGUGAAUGACGGUCUUGCCGUCACUUAUAGAUGGUUCCGCGCUGCAUUAGCUAGUUGGUAAGGUAACGGCCUACCAAGGCAACGAUGCAUAGCCGACCUGAGAGGAUGAUCGGCCACACUGGAACUGAGACACGGUCCAGACUCCUACGGGAGGCAGCAGUAGGGAAUCUGCGGCAAUGGGCGAAAGCCUGACGCAGCAACGCCGCGUGAGUGAUGAAGGUCUUCGGAUCGUAAAGCUCUGUUAUUAGGGAAGAACAUAUGUGUGAGUAAACGUGGACAUCUUGACGGUACCUAAUCAAAAAGCAACGGCUAACUACGUG
RNAcentral lists this ribosomal RNA (497 nucleotides) under uncultured bacterium. RNAcentral's name for it is "partial 16S ribosomal RNA". It matches the Rfam family "Bacterial small subunit ribosomal RNA", at positions 28 to 507 of the family's 1533-position model. The record is from RNAcentral.